GGUUGAGAUCAUACCAGCACUAAUGCACCGGAUCCCAUCAGAACUCCGCAGUUAAGCGUGCUUGAGCGAGAGUAGUACUAGGAUGGGUGACCCCCUGGGAAGUCCUCGUGUUGCAACCC
Molecule: ribosomal RNA, 119 nt
Filed under: Helianthus annuus (common sunflower)
Lineage: Eukaryota; Viridiplantae; Streptophyta; Magnoliopsida; Asterales; Asteraceae
Source: RNAcentral